Molecule: unclassified non-coding RNA, 361 nt
Filed under: Pouteria laevigata
Lineage: Eukaryota; Viridiplantae; Streptophyta; Magnoliopsida; Ericales; Sapotaceae
Description: partial contains external transcribed spacer and 18S ribosomal RNA
Source: RNAcentral
UCCUGUGUUGCUUGCCUAUUGUGAGGGAAAUUGGCCGCGGAUGAGUUCUAAUUUUUGCCUCUCACCCAAUCGUGGUGUUAGGUUGACAUUGAAGUACUGCCCUUUCUCCUUGAAYGCUUCGCUCUUUUGCGUUGCAAUCAUGGCCCAUGGGUUGCUACUAGUUACCUCGGAUGCAGAACUUUUGAAGGGUGCACAGCAUGUUUGCUGUUGUUUACCCACAAGCGUUCAGCGGUUGAUGCGUAUGACAGCUGUGCCCGUCUUGGCCCCCGGUCUAAUUAGUUUGGAUGGGGCUCAUGCGGUGCCGGCGUCGCGAAGGAAUGCUACCUGGUUGAUCCUGCCAGUAGUCAUAUGCUUGUCUCAA